Molecule: unclassified non-coding RNA, 240 nt
Filed under: soil metagenome
Description: partial contains 5.8S ribosomal RNA, internal transcribed spacer 2, and large subunit ribosomal RNA
Source: RNAcentral
AACCAUAGAAACCUGCGGAGUACCUGCGGAGGGAUCAUUACACAAUAAACAUAUGAAGGCUGCACCGCCAACAGGCGGCAAGGCUGGAGUAUUUUAUUACCCUUGUCUUUUGCGCACUUGUUGUUUCCUGGGCGGGUUCGCCCGCCUCCAGGACCACAUGAUAAACCUUUUUUAUGCAGUUGCAAUCAGCGUCAGUACAACAAAUGUAAAUCAUUUACAACUUUCAACAACGGAUCUCAG